RNAcentral lists this ribosomal RNA (433 nucleotides) under uncultured bacterium. Its description in RNAcentral is "partial 16S ribosomal RNA". It matches the Rfam family "Bacterial small subunit ribosomal RNA", at positions 29 to 507 of the family's 1533-position model. The record is from RNAcentral.
AACGAACGCUGGCGGCAGGCUUAACACAUGCAAGUCGAACGGAUCCUUCGGGAUUAGUGGCAGACGGGUGAGUACCGCGUGGGAACGUACCCUUUGCUACGGAAUAACUCAGGGAAACUUGAGCUAAUCCCGUAUGUGCCCUACGGGGGAAAGAUUUAUCGGCAAAGGAUCGGCCCGCGUUGGAUUAGCUAGUUGGUGGGGUAAUGGCCUACCAAGGCGACGAUCCAUAGCUGGUCUGAGAGGAUGAUCAGCCACACUGGGACUGAGACACGGCCCAGACUCCUACGGGAGGCAGCAGUGGGGAAUAUUGGACAAUGGGCGCAAGCCUGAUCCAGCCAUGCCGCGUGAGUGAUGAAGGUCUUAGGAUUGUAAAGCUCUUUCACCGGUGAAGAUAAUGACGGUAGCCGGAGAAGAAGCCCCGGCUAACUUCGUG